CUCAACUGUAGAAUUGCCAUUGAUACUGUUAACCUUGAGUAAUUAUGAAGUGGUUAGAAUAUGUAGUGUAGCGGUGAAAUGCAUAGAUAUUACAUAGAAUACCGAUUGCGAAGGCAGAUCACUAAUAAUGUACUGACGCUGAGGGACGAAAGCGUAGGUAGCGAACAGGAUUAGAUACCCUGGUAGUCUACGCCGUAAACGAUGGUUACUAGCUGUUUGGUCUAAUUGAGGACUGAGUGGCUAAGCGAAAGUGAUAAGUAACCCACCUGGGGAGUACGUUCGCAAGAAUGAAACUCAAAGGAAUUGACGGGGGCCCGCACAAGCGGUGGAGCAUGUGGUUUAAUUCGAUGAUACGCGAGGAACCUUACCAGGGCUUAAAUGCAGUCUGACAGGUCUGGAAACAGACUUUCCUUCGGGCAG
This 420-nucleotide ribosomal RNA is filed under the name uncultured Bacteroidota bacterium. RNAcentral's name for it is "bacterial SSU rRNA". It matches the Rfam family "Bacterial small subunit ribosomal RNA", at positions 608 to 1029 of the family's 1533-position model. The record is from RNAcentral. Lineage: Bacteria; Pseudomonadati; Bacteroidota.